GUCUCAGAGAGCACAGAUGGAGGUCUUUCAGCUGGUGCCAUUUCUGGAAUAGUAAUCGCAUGUUUGAUUGUUGCUGCCGCUGCAGCUGCUGGAGGAUACAUUUUCUAUCAAAAGAAUGGUAGCAAACCUCAGCCAAAUGCACCAGAGCUGCCACCAAAACAAGUACAUAUUCAUCAGAACCCUCACCCAGCGUAUGUGAAACCUGAUCCAGUGUAUGAGGAACCUGAUGAAAAGUAUGAUCGAGUCUUUGAGAACCCUGAUCUAGUGUAUGAGAACUCUGAUCUAGUGUAUGAGAACCCUGAUCGAGUGUAUAUGAACAUAUAACCUCAGCGACCUCGUAAAAACUGAUGCCUGUAUUUUGCGGGAAAGCAACAAGAGGAGUGUCUCCCCACAGGAAUAACUCAAUAAUAUUAUUUAACUGCUCAGUUUGGGAGUUUUAAUCAGUUGUUUAGUUCUGUGGCAAGGUCUGUGUUUCUAAAGACAAACCCUUCAGGUAUAAGCUUUCAUGCAAACCCCUGCUCUAUGCUGCCCUCAUGUGGUAGAUCUGUGGUUGUUUUAGCAUCUGCAGGUUUGAAAUCAGAUCACUAGUAUCUGAUCUACCUAGAUGAAGUUUUGAUAUCUUUUUGAUUUCCAUUUGACCUGUAUUUGUAAAUGAUAUCACGCUUUGACUUCCUUGAUUAUUUCAUGUUUUAAAGUUUUAGCAGAGUUUAGUCAAAGAGCCAAAUCCCUUGGUGUGCUAAUCGAGGACACAUUUUGUAUGUAGCCUACAAUAAAAUGUAAACAUUAUUUGUGAAUAAAGUGACCAUGAGAACCACGA
Long non-coding RNA from Cheilinus undulatus (humphead wrasse), 817 nucleotides. RefSeq lists it as uncharacterized. The transcript has 3 exons. Lineage: Eukaryota; Metazoa; Chordata; Actinopteri; Labriformes; Labridae. The record is from RefSeq and is a predicted model, not a curated record.